This 461-nucleotide ribosomal RNA is filed under the name uncultured bacterium. Its description in RNAcentral is "partial 16S ribosomal RNA". It matches the Rfam family "Bacterial small subunit ribosomal RNA", at positions 28 to 507 of the family's 1533-position model. The record is from RNAcentral.
GACGAACGCUGGCGGCGUGCUUAACACAUGCAAGUCGAACGGUAAGGCCUUUCGGGGUACACGAGUGGCGAACGGGUGAGUAACACGUGGGUGAUCUGCCCUGCACUUCGGGAUAAGCCCGGGAAACUGGGUCUAAUACCGGAUAGGACUGCGCGGUGCAUGCCGUGUGGUGGAAAGAUUUAUCGGUGCAGGAUGGGCCCGCGGCCUAUCAGCUUGUUGGUGGGGUAAUGGCCUACCAAGGCGACGACGGGUAGCCGGCCUGAGAGGGCGACCGGCCACACGGGGAUGAGGACAGGGCCCGGAUCCCAAGGGGAGGAAGCGGUGGGGAUAAUGCACAAUGGGCGCAAGCCUGAUGCAGCGACGCCGCGUGAGGGAUGACGGCCUUCGGGUUGUAAACCUCUUUCAGCAGGGACGAAGCGUGAGUGACGGUACCUGCAGAAGAAGCACCGGCCAACUACGUG